Long non-coding RNA from Cuculus canorus (common cuckoo), 873 nucleotides. RefSeq lists it as uncharacterized. Lineage: Eukaryota; Metazoa; Chordata; Aves; Cuculiformes; Cuculidae. The record is from RefSeq and is a predicted model, not a curated record. The transcript has 3 exons.
UAUUUUGUUGAAGAGUCAGAACAUCAAGCCAAGCUUCUGCAGUUACUAUCCCAGUUUUAUCUGUGCUUGUCGUCUGAGAUGUCUAGACUGACUGUAGUCCGGUAUGGUAGCAAGAAAAGAUUGUCAUCUCGUUUAUGACCUAUGCAAAAGGGAGAAAAAGUGCCUGAGGAGAUCCCGUGGAAGCCAGUGGGACUACAAAAGCUUCCCAAUGAAUGGACCAAUGCAGAAGAGGUACAGUCCUGAGCAGGUCUCAGAUUUUCACUGAAUCAUUCUUCAGUCUUUUAGACGACAAACUUUUAAGAGAAGGAAAAUGAAAACCUGAAUGCAAUAGUAGAAGAGCUUUGCUCUUUCCAGUGUUGUGAAUGAAUAUUUGGAUAAGCAGAUAUACGUCUCAGCUCUACUCUCACAACACUAAUCCCCUGGUAUUUCUGGAACCUGACUGCUGUCUGUUGGCACAUUCCUUGGAACAUAAAGUUGCAAUUUAUUUUCUUUAUUACAUAAAAUAAAAAUGUUUCCUCAGAAUUUUCCUAGGCAGUUGCUUCUCCAAAUAUACAAAAUGUAUCAGCAACCUCCAUGAUCACCUGCUCAAAAACCAUUGUCAAGAUGUAAGUAGAGCUUAGCAGCUCCUAAGGGGUUAAACUUGCUAUUCUGAGCUGAGCCAAUUUCACUUUGUAUGUUCUGCAGUGCAGUGAAAGUUAAUUCAUUCUAAAGCACAGAGCUUUCCAGCAACAUUGUUAAUAUUAUAAUGUUCCUUUGCUGCACUGCCCUAGCUAGUUUAUUAGAAGAGGAAAAAAUACAGAUGUGCUGACAAGCAGAGUUAUACCUCUACCCACACUGGAAAAAUAUUUAUUAAAAUUACUUUAAAUCAUUCUU